AAAAAAUUACGAUUCAGAGACCUUGAGCACUCCUCCUCAAUCCCAGCACAUACACACCAACAGAUGCCACCGUGACCAGGUGAGCCAGGUGAGCAGGAGGGAGAGCCGUACAAGCUCGCCUUUGAUCCCCAAGUUAGUGGACCACCAGCUUUGCUCCGAGGGCUCAUGACAGGACGAAAGAAGAAGAAGGAAAAAAAAAAAAAAACCACCCUCCACCACUUUAUCACCGAACUUGAGUUAAACUUGACACGACUGACCCCGAAACUGUGUAUAGGUUCAUGCAUUACUAUCUCGCCUGCCUCUACCUGCUGGUGUGUGUAAGGUGAGCGACAUUUUACCUCAGCGGUUAAUCACUUCUGGACCCGCAGCUACUUACCUGAGUGCGAAACUAAAGGUCACAAGUUCACGAUGCCAUACUCUUCUCAGGUCGGGUUCCUGCUGGUGACGAUACUCACAUCACACGUCUGUGGUGAGGGGUCACAGAAAACCCUACCAGACGUCGAGGCCAGACCUAACGAGGCGCUGAAGUCUUCCAAACAUUUCAGCAGCAACUUGCUUUUAAUCCUGACUUCCCCGUGCUGCCAGCUCCCACAGAAGCCUCCCAGACAAAGCAGAUGAGAGUGGUUGCAUCUGUCCUCCAGGCCACACCCAGCACCACCGCAGAUCGCAACAACACAGGAGAUACACCGUCAAACGCUUAUUUCAGCAACAAAAAUGUUUCUGGCUCCGAAAGAUCUGGAACCACAAUCAAGCCAGGUGUGUUCCUGGCAAUCAUCCUGUGCAUUGUUUGUCUUGUAACUGUUGCGCACUUUAAGGUCGGUGACAGACUUCGAGAAGUGUCUUGGGUUGGAACUACUUCAACGCGCGCGCGGUCGGUUAUGCUUUUAAUAAAGAAAUACACAGAGAAAAUGCUCCCAGGAGUGCCGAGGAGUUCCGGACACCGAGAACAUGGGUCACAUCAUGAAUUUAGGCGACCCUCAGAGGUGAAAGUUACCCUCCCACUGGUGAGCAGGGGUGAUGAGCCGCACGUGGACGCUGACGUGUCAUAGCGCAAACAUCUUCCAGGAACUGUUGGGAAGUCUGCACACAGUGUACAAAGCUUUGCAUUUCCAGCAUGUCGGUCAGAGAUCUGCACAGUAAGACUUGCACAUGGGUGUCUGAUGUGGGAAGUGAGGCGCAGACCAACGAAGUACUCUGAGGCCUGAUGCAGAGACAGAGAAGAUCGAAGUCUGAGGCAAAAUCUGUGGUGCGAGCCUUGCUGACAUGAAGCUACUUUCGUUUUAUCAUCCCUUCUUCGGUCACCUCUUCAUUUUGCUAGAAAUUCUUGUAUUGCUCCACCAUUUCAACGGUAUUUCUUCCGGCUCUCUCUCUCUCAAACCCACAUUAACUUUACGUGUUCAGCAGGACAUCCAUGGACCCCUUCCUGUGGAAUCAGAGGUGUAGCGAUUGAAAUAUGUGCGUUUUCUAUUUCAGUUUUCUCGCAAACCUCAUUCCAUCAGUCAGAUACGCUUUCAAAGAAAGCAAAUUACCGUGAACUUAAAAAAAAAAC
This 1549-nucleotide long non-coding RNA is filed under the name Pomacea canaliculata. RNAcentral describes it as "uncharacterized LOC112560813". The record is from RNAcentral. Lineage: Eukaryota; Metazoa; Mollusca; Gastropoda; Architaenioglossa; Ampullariidae.